UGAUAGCAACGAAGCGAGAGGUUGCUGCCAAUGGUUGGCAGGUUUUUCCGUGGAGCGAAUGUCAAGUUAGGAAACUGGCGACAA
Molecule: regulatory RNA element, 84 nt
Organism: Lachnospiraceae bacterium 3-1
Lineage: Bacteria; Bacillati; Bacillota; Clostridia; Lachnospirales; Lachnospiraceae
Rfam family: S10-Clostridia ribosomal protein leader
Source: Rfam